UUUUAUUAAAACUCAAACUCUAGUAUAUACGCAUUGCAUGAGAGAGUGAGAGGGAACCAAUGAGGACCUAACAAAGAUGAUCUCUAGCGCCCCUUGACACACAUCAUCAAUCCUCUAUCUGGAUUUUAAAUCAAAUUGGAAAAAAAGUGAACUUGGAAAAAAGAAAAAAAUUGGAAAAAAAUGAAAGGGGUCUUGCUCUUUCAGUUUUUGAGUUUGAAGAGAUAUAUCACUCUCUGAGUUUGAUAAAAGGGGUGGAUAAAAAAAUGAGUAUUUUUUCUUUCCUCAAAAAGGAGUCUUCUUCUUCCCCCCAACCACC
Molecule: long non-coding RNA, 316 nt
Filed under: Lathyrus oleraceus (garden pea)
Lineage: Eukaryota; Viridiplantae; Streptophyta; Magnoliopsida; Fabales; Fabaceae
Description: Pisum sativum (pea) long non-coding RNA (PSAT_LNC033043)
Source: RNAcentral